Molecule: ribosomal RNA, 301 nt
Filed under: uncultured bacterium
Lineage: Bacteria
Description: partial 16S ribosomal RNA
Rfam family: Bacterial small subunit ribosomal RNA
Source: RNAcentral
CAGCAGCGCGGUAAUACGAAGGGUGCAAGCGUUACUCGGAAUUACUGGGCGUAAAGCGUGCGUAGGUGGUGGUUUAAGUCCGCUGUGAAAGCCCUGGGCUCAACCUGGGAAUUGCAGUGGAUACUGGAUCACUAGAGUGUGGUAGAGGAUAGUGGAAUUUCCGGUGUAGCAGUGAAAUGCGUAGAGAUCGGAAGGAACAUCUGUGGCGAAGGCGACUAUCUGGGCCAACACUGACACUGAGGCACGAAAGCGUGGGGAGCAAACAGGAUUAGAUACCCCCGUAGUCCCUGUCUCUUAUCCA